GUAAAUACUCACUUUUGAUCAUGCCCUUGACAGCAUCCAGCACAAAUGUGAUGGAAAUGAACAUGGCAAUGAUAUCUUCUGUUGACCUGCCAGGGGAUGAUAUGCCUCAUAAGAUGGGGGCCCACCUUGACCCCGUACAUGCUGGGAUUUCUGGAAGCUGGAGUUUCUGCUGUAGCUCAAUGCGGUGGGGCCUGGACCCUGGCCCAUCAUGUCAGGAAGGAAAUACAACCUUUUGGGCAAUCUCUGGAGGAAGUCAGGGCUUGAUGAGGACCUAGCAAGAUGCUACAGAGAAACCCAGGAUGGCCGAGAUGAAGGGACAGGGUGGAAUGAGACCUUCAGACGCUAGGACUGUGGGGUACUCCAGCACAUGGAAGAGAUGCCCCC
This is a long non-coding RNA of Eptesicus fuscus (big brown bat), 384 nucleotides long. RefSeq lists it as uncharacterized. The record is from RefSeq and is a predicted model, not a curated record. NCBI's taxonomy places the organism in Eukaryota, Metazoa, Chordata, Mammalia, Chiroptera, Vespertilionidae. The transcript is spliced from 3 exons.